GAUGAACGCUGGCGGCGUGCCUAAUACAUGCAAGUCGAGCGAACAGAUGAGGAGCUUGCUCCUCUGACGUUAGCGGCGGACGGGUGAGUAACACGUGGAUAACCUACCUAUAAGACUGGGAUAACUUCGGGAAACCGGAGCUAAUACCGUAUAAUAUAUUGAACCGCAUGGUUCAAUAGUGAAAGACGGUUUUGCUGUCACUUAUAGAUGGAUCCGCGCCGCAUUAGCUAGUUGGUAAGGUAACGGCUUACCAAGGCAACGAUGCGUAGCCGACCUGAGAGGGUGAUAGGCCACACGGGAGCGUAGCCGCGGUCCAGACGCCUGCGGGAGGCCGCAGUAGGGUAUCUGCCGCAAUGGGCGAAAGCCUGACGGAGCAACGCCGAGUGAGUGAUGAAGGUCUUCGGAGCGUAAUACUCUGUUAUUAGGGAAGAACAAAUGUGUAAGUAACUAUGCACGUCUUGACGGUACCUAAUCAGAAAGCCACGGCUAACUACGUG
RNAcentral lists this ribosomal RNA (497 nucleotides) under uncultured bacterium. RNAcentral's name for it is "partial 16S ribosomal RNA". It matches the Rfam family "Bacterial small subunit ribosomal RNA", at positions 28 to 507 of the family's 1533-position model. The record is from RNAcentral.